Molecule: unclassified non-coding RNA, 413 nt
Filed under: soil metagenome
Description: partial contains 5.8S ribosomal RNA, internal transcribed spacer 2, and large subunit ribosomal RNA
Rfam family: 5.8S ribosomal RNA (bases 1-120)
Source: RNAcentral
GAUGAAGAACGUAGCGAAGUGCGAUAAGUAAUGUGAAUUGCAGAAUUCAGUGAAUCAUCGAAUCUUUGAACGCACCUUGCGCUCUUUGGUAUUCCGAAGAGCAUGCCUGUUUGAGUGUCAUGAAAAUAUCAACCUUGACUUGGGUUUUGUGCUCUAGUCUCGGCUUGGAAUUGGGUGCUUGCCGCUUUUACGAGCGGCUCACCUUAAAUGUAUUAGCUGGAUCUGUCUUUGAGACUUGGUUUGACUUGGCGUAAUAAGUAUUUCGCUAAGGACAUUCUUCGGAGUGGCCUCGUUUCUAGGACGCUUGUCCGCUUUCCAAUACAAGUUCCACCUCGUGGACAUGACUUUUUAUUAUCUGGCCUCAAAUCAGGUAGGACUACCCGCUGAACUUAAGCAUAUCAAUAAGCGGAGGA